AGUAUAAGUUUUAAUCGAACAAAAGGAAGAUCAAAUAAGUAUAAUAAGUUUUAAAAUCUAAAUAUGGUCUACUCAAACCUGUGUGAGGUUCAUAUUGAGCUCAUGUAUCCUUGAGUUGCAGUGAACCUCAAUGAGUGUCAUGGCUCCUAAAGUAUCUCGUGGAGGAUUACCACAAAUGAAAUCUUCAAUCACUUUUUCAAC
Molecule: long non-coding RNA, 201 nt
Filed under: Carica papaya (papaya)
Lineage: Eukaryota; Viridiplantae; Streptophyta; Magnoliopsida; Brassicales; Caricaceae
Description: long non-coding RNA (CPAP_LNC003548)
Source: RNAcentral